UACGUAGGUGACAAGCGUUGUCCGGAUUUACUGGGCGUAAAGCGCCUGUAGGCGGCGGUGCAAGUCCGGCCUGAAAGCCCCCGGCUCAACCGGGGAGGGUGGCUGGAAACUGUGUCGCUUGAGGGCGAGAGAGGAGGGUGGAAUUCCUGGUGUAGCGGUGAAAUGCGUAGAGAUCAGGAGGAACACCCGUGGCGAAGGCGGCCCUCUGGCUCGACCCUGACGCUGAGAGGCGAAAGCGUGGGGAGCGAACAGG
RNAcentral lists this ribosomal RNA (253 nucleotides) under uncultured bacterium. RNAcentral's name for it is "partial 16S ribosomal RNA". It matches the Rfam family "Bacterial small subunit ribosomal RNA", at positions 524 to 776 of the family's 1533-position model. The record is from RNAcentral.